This 253-nucleotide ribosomal RNA is filed under the name uncultured bacterium. RNAcentral describes it as "partial 16S ribosomal RNA". It matches the Rfam family "Bacterial small subunit ribosomal RNA", at positions 524 to 776 of the family's 1533-position model. The record is from RNAcentral.
UACGUAGGGGGCAAGCGUUGUCUGGAUUUAUUGGGCGUAAAGAGCGUGUAGGCGGCUAGGUAGGUCCGUUGUGAAAACUCGAGGCUCAACCUCGAGCUGUCGAUGGAAACCAUCUGGCUAGAGUCCGGAAGAGGAGAGUGGAAUUCCUGGUGUAGCGGUGAAAUGCGCAGAUAUCAGGAAGAACACCCGUGGCGAAGGCGGCUCUCUGGUACGUGACUGACGCUGAGACGCGAAAGCGUGGGGAGCGAACAGG